GUUAAUUGUCAUAACGUAGAUACAAACAAAAUGUAGAAUCUGCUUUUGAAAUGACGCUUUCUCACUAUCUUCGUGCAACCGUAUAAGUUACUGUAUGGCUUUUAUCAAUUAUCUUAACCCAUAUCGUAUAGUAGCUUUAUAACUUCAAUAGAAUUGAGAAUGGAAACGGGAAAUGAGUUAUAAAAAGAGGCAACAACCCGACAAAAGAGCAGAAAACAACCCAUAGUCACCAAUGGGUCUUUAACGCAAAAAAGGGGGGGG
This 261-nucleotide long non-coding RNA is filed under the name Mytilus galloprovincialis (Mediterranean mussel). The record is from RNAcentral. Lineage: Eukaryota; Metazoa; Mollusca; Bivalvia; Mytilida; Mytilidae.